CCUACGGGAUGCUGCAGUGGGGAAUAUUGGGCAAUGGGCGAAAGCCUGACCCAGCAACGCCGCGUGAAGGAAGAAGGCCUUCGGGUCGUAAACUUCUUUUGACAGGGAAGAGCAGAAGACGGUAUAUCUAUACAAAUCUACGGCUAACUAAGUCCCAGCAGCCGGGGUAAUACGUAGGUGGCACGCGUUGUCCGGAUUUAAUGGGUGUAAAGAGCGUGUAGCCGGGCGUACAAGUCAGAUGUGAAAACCGGGGGCUCAACCCCCGAGCUGCAUUUGAAACUGUUGGUCUUGAGUAUCGGAGAGGAAGGCGGAAUUCCUAGUGUAGCGGUGAAAUGCGUAGAGAUUAGGAGGAACACCAGUGGCGAAGGCGGCCUGCUGGACGACAACUGACGGUGAGGCGCGAAAGCGUGGGGAGCAAACAGGAUUAGAUACCCUAGUAGUC
This 442-nucleotide ribosomal RNA is filed under the name uncultured bacterium. Its description in RNAcentral is "partial 16S ribosomal RNA". It matches the Rfam family "Bacterial small subunit ribosomal RNA", at positions 338 to 795 of the family's 1533-position model. The record is from RNAcentral.